This 253-nucleotide unclassified non-coding RNA is filed under the name uncultured Rickettsiales bacterium. Its description in RNAcentral is "contains 16S-23S intergenic spacer region". It matches the Rfam family "Bacterial small subunit ribosomal RNA", at positions 524 to 776 of the family's 1533-position model. The record is from RNAcentral. Lineage: Bacteria; Pseudomonadati; Pseudomonadota; Alphaproteobacteria; Rickettsiales.
UACGGAGGGGGCUAGCGUUGUUCGGAAUUACUGGGCGUAAAGAGCGUGUAGGUGGCUUGGCAAGUUAGAAGUGAAAGCCCGAGGCUUAACCUCGGAAUUGCUUCUAAAACUGCUUGGCUCGAGGUCGAUAGGGGGUGGUGGAAUUCCUAGUGUAGAGGUGAAAUUCUUAGAUAUUAGGAAGAACACCGGUGGCGAAGGCGACCACCUGGAUCGCACCUGACACUGAGACGCGAAAGCGUGGGUAGCAAACAGG